CUUCUGGUGGUCCAGUGGUUAGGACCCUGUGCUUCCAAUGCAAGGGACUCAGGUUUGAUCCCUGAUCAGGGAA
RNAcentral lists this transfer RNA (73 nucleotides) under Bos taurus (domestic cattle). It matches the Rfam family "tRNA". Rfam says of the family: Transfer RNA (tRNA) molecules are approximately 80 nucleotides in length. Their secondary structure includes four short double-helical elements and three loops (D, anti-codon, and T loops). Further hydrogen bonds mediate the characteristic L-shaped molecular structure. tRNAs have two regions of fundamental functional importance: the anti-codon, which is responsible for specific mRNA codon recognition, and the 3' end, to which the tRNAs corresponding amino acid is attached (by aminoacyl-tRNA synthetases). tRNAs cope with the degeneracy of the genetic code in two manners: having more than one tRNA (with a specific anti-codon) for a particular amino acid; and 'wobble' base-pairing, i.e. permitting non-standard base-pairing at the 3rd anti-codon position. Lineage: Eukaryota; Metazoa; Chordata; Mammalia; Artiodactyla; Bovidae. RNAcentral also lists the same sequence under 4 other names. The record is from Rfam by way of RNAcentral.